AUACUUUUCAUAUGGGUAAUGAUGAGACUAUCGAAACUUCUGGAAAAUAUCAGUAAGCUGAGAGUGAAGAGGAUAAAUCGGAAGAAGGAAAUGAUCUGUAUUAAGAACCUGCAGCGAACACUGAAACUGCGGAGGAUUGUUUCAGGAAAGAGUGUGAGGGUGAAGAGGAGAAGGUGAUUAGUUCAUGGACGCAGUGGAUGGCAAUGAAUUCUUUUACAACGAAAAUGUUAAUGAUGUUCCAGAUGAGGAUAUUGAAAGCCAAAGGAUGUGUACUUCUCUAAAUGGCAUGAUAAACAGCGCUAAGUUUAAUUAUCCUAUUAGUCUUCUGGUAAACAGAACUAUAGAUGAAGUUAUUCUUUUGAUUGUAAAGUUUGCGCUUGUGCAUGCGCUAUCAUAAACCGAGAUCUAUGAUUUGUUCGCUUUCAUAAAAUUUUGACGUAGUUGUUUUACCGUCAACGAGAUACUUGAUGGACAAGCUGUUUUAUCCGGAAAGUUACACCCAACUUCCUGGAAUAUGCACCGAUUGUGGCGCAUAUAUAGGUAAAUUUACACGUAAAGAUUGUGUAACUAAUUGUAAUGUUUGUAAAGCCGAAAUUAAUGUUCAAGACUUCGCGUUUAAAGACUUUUUGUUAUGAUGGACGUUUCAUCUCCUAUUUCGAAAUUGAUAAGCAAUUUUUAAAGAAUUUAAAUGAAUUCGACGAAAAACGAUAUGAUACAGUAACUUUUAACACAGAUGGUGCACCCUUAUUUACUAGUUUCACAUAUUCUAUUUAGUUGAAAAUAUGAACAAUCUUUUCACGAAGGGAACGUGCACCAUCAAUUUGGAUCAAAAUUUUCUGUAUAAUUUUCCUGGAGAGUGGGUUCAACAUAAUUCCAAUAAUGCACAUUCUGGAAAUAUAAAAUAUCCUCUUUUUUAGCAAAGUGCCCCAAGAUAUAAAUGCGGGAGAUACUGUAAAACAUCAGAACAAAGCAGAAAAUGUAAAAAAAGGAACGGUUUUUGGAGUCCAAAAUUCAUCACACUUAAUAAGUUUAGUAAAUUUGGACAUUGCCUUUGGUUCCGUACCAGAUACUAUGAGUUAUAUCACUGGAAUAGCUAAGUUAUUCGCCACAAUGUGGCAUGGAAAUAAAUUGAAAGCUGGUCUAAUUCCUAAACAAAAGAUUAAUGAAAUUGAUGUUCUGUUAAAGAAAAUGAAUGUCCCUCACGCAAUCGGUAGACUUACGCGUACAUUGUCUGAAAAAGAAUUUUGGAAAGCUAGAUACAAAAAAUUAAGGAAUAAUAAUAAAUAAUAUAUUUGAUAUAUUAUUAUAUUAUUAUUAUAAUAAUUUAUAUCUAUAUUAUUAUAAAUAAUCUCUCUGACUAUCGCUUGAGACGAAAUAAUCCAAAUCGAUCCUGUAGAUCGCUUGAAUGAUGAUCUUAAAGAUGUUUUACCAUAGGAGUUUUUUUACCACUGGGCUCUAUUCGUAGAAGCAUUGUACAUACUAUCAAAUGGAACUAUUAAGACUUUUGAAGUGAAUUAUUUCGACAAACUAUUACAUGACUUUAUUGCUCUCACGGAAAUUUCUUGAUUGUAAAGUAUCUAUGACUUUUAAUAUGCAUUUGUUUUUACAUUUAUGUUGAAGCGUUAACGAUUGUGUAUUCCCUUUAGUCCCAUAACGCAUAUGUAUUUGUAUCUGGAACCGGAGACUUAUUGAAAGUUAGCCAUGCUGCAAAA
This is a long non-coding RNA of Belonocnema kinseyi, 1712 nucleotides long. RefSeq lists it as uncharacterized. The transcript has 2 exons. The record is from RefSeq and is a predicted model, not a curated record. NCBI's taxonomy places the organism in Eukaryota, Metazoa, Arthropoda, Insecta, Hymenoptera, Cynipidae.